AUCCUUGCCUGGCAGGAGAGAGAUUACGUUCACAAACAUGGGUUCUCCAGUAAGAGACUAUUAUACUGGUCUCCAGGUGUGCUUGACCUCUGUUAUUCUCCAGAUGUGGAAAAUUCAAUGCACAUUUGCGGUAGUGGGGUCUGCACCCCC
This 150-nucleotide small nuclear RNA is filed under the name Pteropus vampyrus (large flying fox). Its description in RNAcentral is "U1 spliceosomal RNA (ENSPVAG00000028158.1)". The record is from RNAcentral. Lineage: Eukaryota; Metazoa; Chordata; Mammalia; Chiroptera; Pteropodidae.